Molecule: ribosomal RNA, 429 nt
Filed under: Actinomycetes bacterium
Lineage: Bacteria; Bacillati; Actinomycetota; Actinomycetes
Description: Actinobacteria bacterium partial 16S ribosomal RNA
Rfam family: Bacterial small subunit ribosomal RNA
Source: RNAcentral
UAGGGAAUCUUCCGCAAUGGGCGAAAGCUUGACGGAGCAACGCCGCGUGAGUGAUGAAGGUCUUCGGAUCGUAAAACUCUGUUAUUAGGGAAGAACAAAUGUGUAAGUAACUAUGCACGUCUUGACGGUACCUAAUCAGAAAGCCACGGCUAACUACGUGCCAGCAGCCGCGGUAAUACGUAGGUGGCAAGCGUUAUCCGGAAUUAUUUGGCGUAAAGCGCGCGUAGGCGGUUUUUUAAGUCUGAUGUGAAAGCCCACGGCUCAACCGUGGAGGGUCAUUGGAAACUGGAAACCUUGAGUGCAGAAGAGGAAAGUGGAAUUCCAGGUGUAGCGGUGAAAUGCGCAGAGAUAUGGAGGAACACCAGUGGCGAAGGCGACUUUCUGGUCUGUAACUGACGCUGAUGUGCGAAAGCGUGGGGAUCAAACAGG